Molecule: long non-coding RNA, 9907 nt
Filed under: Phoenix dactylifera (date palm)
Lineage: Eukaryota; Viridiplantae; Streptophyta; Magnoliopsida; Arecales; Arecaceae
Description: long non-coding RNA (PDAC_LNC004574)
Source: RNAcentral
UGGGGGAGGGUUUGGGGGCAUGUGGGUUGCCCUUGCUCCAUUUUGAGGCAUCUCGUGAGAGGCUCUGCCUCUAAUUUGAGUUGAUAGCUAGAAAGAGAGGGGAAGGGGAAUGGAGGAGUGUGAGGUUGGGAGCCCUUGCCGGCAGCAUGCACAUCAGGGUUGUUGGAUUGGAUGAACCUCUUCCCCUCCCUUGUUUACAGCCAUAAAUUGGCAAGAAGUGGGAAAAUUAGGGAAAACUGUCUCAUUUUUUUUUCAGUUGGCAUGAAAUUUUGAUGUGCUGUUUUCUUUGAGAAUAUUUUAUUUUUUACAAACUAUUAUUAUUCUUGGAUUAGAAUAUUAAUAAUAAGUAGAAAACAAAAUUUGGGAUGGAAAAAUUGUAGCAUAGCUGCAUUUGUAGUGUUUUUAUACUAUAAUUUUUUGGUUUAGAUCAGACAAUCUGGUGGUGCAUUUGGGAGCCCCGAGCAUAAGCUCAAAAUUGUGAUCAAUUUUAUAUUAUCCCAUCAAAAUAAUCAUCUAAAACACUUUGGUAUCACACCCAUCAAAAUGCAUCUAAAACACUACAAAAUGACAAAGUGAGACUGAUAGCCUUGUUAGACAUAGAAACACAAAGAAAUGAAAAAAACAAAGAAAAAUGAAGUUUUGGGCGUCCAUGUAUGAUGCUGGGAAGCAAUCCCGUACUGUAUGUUGGUACAAGACAACAAAUACCUUACUGGUUUGACAGACACCACCUUUGUACAGAUUUUAAAAACCAUGGUUAGAAUGCCUUAAGAGCUUACUCUACAUAGGGAUUAUGGAAACAGCAUGAAAGACGAGAAAACUUCUUUUCAUUUAGAAAAAUGAGCAUAACAUUGAUUACUUUUAGAAGUUUUCUAUCAUUCCAAUGACCCUGAUAUUCUAUCUUGGCAGAUUUGCUUUGCGCACCCUAGUAUGAUUUUUGUUCCAAUUGAGUCCUAGGCUGUGUCUCUCCUAUUCAAAAAUCAUACAGAUUAUGUAUUCCAAUGACCCUUGUCAUAUAUAAUAUUUCAAUCACACACUUGCAUACACCUUGCAUCAGGUUAUCAUGUAUUAUGGUGAUGAAUGCUGAAUGAUGGUGGAAAUUUCUCGAACUUUCAGAUUUAGAAAAUUGAUACAGAAACGACAUUUGAUAUUGGGACUAAAGCUUUGUGGUAUUCUGUUGCAGCAAGGAUUACACAACAAAGCUUAGAACUUAGCCAAACUACUUUGUAGUCUCGAUAAUAUGUCACCUUUUCACUUAUGGGUAAGUUUGAAAACCUGUAUGUGAUAAAAUCUUGCCCUAGUUCAGAUGAAGGUGAACUGUUUGAUAUAGAAUAUAACCAUUUUCAACAAAUGAAUAAUUCAGUACUUAGCCUUGUAAAUGAACUGUUUGAUAUAGAAUGCCAAUCUAUGUUACACGGACUUGGGUUCAUGCGUCAGGUGCUGGUGCUGUGUCAAGCAUUGGAUCCUUUUGCUUUCUAAGAAUUUUUUUCCUUAUGGAGCCGUGUCUUCCGAUGUCCAUGUUUCUGUUUCCUCUCUCUCUCUCUCACACUCUCACUCUUUUUAACUAAAGACGUUAACUUUUAAGCAUAAGUCAAGAUUGAAAGUGAUGUGAUUAUUAUUAUCCUUUCAAUAAAGAUUGACUAUUCGUUGAUGUAAAUCCUUUCAACAAUGAUGUUUGCUGUUGAAGCACUAUUUAGGCACUUGGUGCCAGAUGGUGUUCACACUAGAGAACAUUAUCAAAAAAGUGCAUAAUUAAUGAGAUAAAAAAUUGAGGAGAACUUGACAUAUUACAUAUUUUUUUUUGAAAUGAAAGGUGGAGCUAGGAUAAAGAAUUAAGCCUAUUUGUUCGUUUUAAGUGCGGUGAGUGGGAGGUAAUUUUACCAAAGUGACCUUGGCUCCUCUGGACGGAGACCACUUUGGGCCAUUUCUUCCAUUUGUGGGCCAUUUCAGUUGGCUUCUGAUGGGCCAAAUUGACUUUGGGUGCUUAGUUAGAGGCAACCAAAGAUGCCUUCAAUUUGAUUUAAGUGUUGCAGAAGAGAACUCUGCAGGUGAAUUAGGUAGAAUUCAAUUAUUUUCCUUUUUUAUGUGAUGAUUCAUUACUUUAUUGGUUGAUUUUUUAUCAGAAAUUGUUCUGAACAUCUCCAAAAUAAAAUUUAGAAAAUUAAUAUAAGUGGUAUGCAACAGGUGAAACUGUAAUUGUUGAUUCAAACUGAUCGGUUUCUUCUUCCAUGGUUGAAGGAAGACUUGAUUUUCUUUUAUAUGCAUCCAACACAAGCAUAUGAAGGUGAUUGAAAAUGAUCGGUUCCUUCUUCCAUAGUUGGAAGGAAGACUUGAUUUUCUUUUAUAUGCAUCCAACACAAGCAAUAUGUAGGUAUUCUGAUCAAGUUAGAGUUGUGAAAGUUGCUAAGGGUAUACUUUUUCUGAUAAAAAAACUAUAUAAGUGAUGGCUUUGGUGACUUCAAAGAAUGAUAACUUUAUGAAAUAUGUGUCAUAAUUGUCUGGACUAAGGGAGAUUUGCUAAAGCUCUAUAUGCUGAGAAGCUUAUUAUUUGGACAAUAAAGCCCAAGUCACCUGCCCAGUAAGGGGAGUUCUUCAAAACCUGCCUGCUUGUAGAUACAAAAGCACAUAUAUCAGCAUCUGUCACCUAGAGUUUUUGGAAGGUUUGGGCAAACUUGUCCAUUUAAAAUCUAUUGCGCACAGAAGGACCCUCAUUACAAAAUUGAGGGAUUCUUUGAUCUCUCUCUCUCUCUCUCUCUCUCUCUGUGUAUGUGUGUCGAGUUAGCAGUGGGCCUAAAAUGCUGAAUGUGACUCUCCAUUUGAUUUAACCUUGGCAAAGAAAUCUUAGUGAUGAUAAAUUUCGGAUUAUGUGGAGAUAAAAAUAUGUGAGAAUAAAAAAAGUCAUUAACCGUUUUAAAUCUUAGUUAAAGACAUUUUAUUGGAUUUCAUUGCAUUUUAUGCACUAACUAGCGGUAUAUAUCAAGAUCUACAUGGUUAAAAGUUGUUUGGGUUUGGAGAAUAUUUGCUCAAAUUAUCAUUUUUGUACUUCCUAUUAAUUUGAGUUAGUAAAAUUUGGCUGGAGUCAUAACAUUUGAAAAUAGCCUGAAAUUAGUGCAUAGUACUUGAGAGGAAAUGAACUUGUCUGUAGCUUGAAUUUGUGGUCGUGGUUGUGGAUUAUCCAGGAAGGUGGGCAGGAGAAACUUUUACGUAUAUAAGCUGCUUUCUUUGAUCUCAUAGUAUUUAAUGCCUGUAAUCUAUCCAGUGCUCUAAUCAUAGAUGAUGAGGUGAUGUGUUUUCUUUCAUAUGUUCCCAAUAUGUGAAAAGUUGUAGAUUCAUAGAUCGUCAGGUGAUGCUUAUAGAUUAUAAUAUGCUAAACUUUUGGUUCAGGACGACAGCCAUGAUACAGUAGCAUUGGCCAGAGCUAUUGGUCUGCAUGAUAUAACGUUUCAUCUCCGAGUAUAUUUUUCUUUAUGAUUGGUUGAGACUGCAAAUUUAUUCGACAUCCAAUGGAUGCAUGGAGAUGGGGCAUGGGAAUUAAACUUAUGAUGAAUUUCUAUGUUGUUUAGAUUUAUUAUCUCUCUUCUUCAUUUCUUGCUUUCUUCAUAUUCAUUUUCCCCCAUGGGGACUUUGUUUUUUGGAAAAAAAACACACAAGAAUGUUACGAAGCUGCCAUCUUCAAGCAUGGGGUUUUUUGAGUCGUCGUAAAAUGUUGUGACAUAAGCUUGUUUCUUUCUGGCAGGAGCCUGAAGGAGGGACAUGGAGAUGUUUCCUACUCUUAGCAAAAAGUUGCAAGCAUUUCAGCUACAUAUGUUGGUUAGUGUAGUUGGUGCCGUCUCUCAUGUUUAUAGCUGUACUCCGCUGUUGUUUGGCAGACAUUUAUGGAUCACUGCUCUGGAUUUUUGAGGAUCAUGUAUCACCUAGCCACAUUGUCAGGAAUAUUUCCAAUCACCUUUAUGUUUUAUGAUGCUUUGAUUGGUAGUUGAUCUAGGCCUUUUAUGUCGUGAAUUGAUGUGUCAGGCUUCUGCACCUGUCUGAUUUAUCAUUACUUUUAAAAUUAAGAGAUCAAGGUUAGUGCUACUAUGUGUAUUCCAUCGUGUUCCUGGAAUGAACCCCAAGCUGGGUUUUUGGUGCCACAAGGGCUGGAGUGUUCUGAUAUGGCCAUUCCUCCCCAGCAGUUCAGCCAAAAAAUCUGGGGUACAUGAAUUUUUAUGCUCGUCAAAUUUAUUGAUUUGGACUGGUAGUGCCAUCUUAAAGUUCAACUAUUGUGUGGCUUUUGGUGGAGAUAUUCAGAUCUUUAACACCAAUAGAAUUGGAUCUCUUUAUCAAAUUAGAAUUAGGGCACAAGACAGUGGAUUUCUUCAUGUCGGAGGAUAUAUCAACUGAUCUGGAAAUGAUAAACAUAUUGAGUUUAUGUUGGUUACUAUUGUUAAUACCUUUUGAACAUCAGUGUUUGAUAAUCGAUUUCUCAAGAAAAAAAAGGGUUAAAUCGUCUGCAGGAGUUGUUCUGUAGGGAAUGCUGUGUUUUGUUUAAUGAUGAAUGUUCCAUUUCGAUGGUUCGAUUUCAUAAUAUAAAGUAUCUAGUUAUUGCACGACUUGUGUGAUGGGUCGACCAUCUUAGUGCUCAAUCUUUACUCUCAAUCUUUAUGUGGCGUGAGAUCGGGAGGUACUUGCCGACUGUGUCGGCUAACACCAGGUGGCUGAUAGGCGAUGGACGGAGCAUCGAUGUGAUUUGUGAUCCGUGGGUGGAUACCCUUCCUUUGAGAUACUGGCCGACGAUGGUGGAUACGAGGCAGCAGAGGGGCACCGGGUAUGCGACCUCCUAGCAACAGGGAGGACAGAGUGGGAUGAGAUCAAACUACAUCAGUUGUUCGGGGCACAUCUUGCUGAGAGGAUUCGCUCCCUACCAGUACCAGGAUGCGAGGGGCCAGACGUCCGGGUAUGGGGCACUUCAUGCAGGGCCAGUGUCAGGUUGGGUGAUCUGUCACGAGUUAUCCAGCAGGAGCAUGAGCGGGGACCGAACUACACCUGGAUAUGGAGGUCCGGGCUCCACCCGAGGGCAGCUCUCUUUUUGUGGAAGGUGAUGUGGGAUCGCCUUCCGACGAGUGCAGUGCUGAGUAGGCGUGGUUUGGGGAUCCCUGCGGAGUGCGGGGCUUGCGGCAUAGACGAGUCUGUGGACCAUGUACUAUUUCGGUGCACUUGGGCGAGGGCGACAUGGCAGUGGACAGGUAUCCCGGAGGUGGCGUGGCGGGAGAGGAGAUUCUUCCUUCAGAUGAUACGACAGUGGUUGGCCAGUACCGGGACACAUCAGGAGGCCAUCAGAGCGACUUGCACAGCCCAUCAGAUCUGGCUAGCAAGGAACGCUCGUACUUUCAGCGAGCGCAGGAUGUCGCCGAUGUUUGUUGCGGAGUCUGCUCGUGCACUGGCGAUGGAGCCCAGACUCACCAUCCCUUCAGAUAUACCCUUGAUAGCUCGGGACACCUGGGGUUCCUUCUCUGCUCAGGCAGCUUCUCGGACGGUGUUUUUCACUUGGGAGCCCCCACCUCCGAGUUUCCUCAAGGUCAACUUUGACGGGUCAGUGUUGGAUGGAGGUACGCGAGGCGGGGUAGGCUUCGUUAUACGGGACCCUCAUUCCAGGGUAGUGGCAGCAGGCGGUUGCCAGUUGUUCGACAUAUCAGUUCCAGGGGCGGUGUUGCGAGCUGCCUGGGCAGGUCUUCGCCACGCGCGGCAGGUGCUGCGGGCUAGCUCGAUCAUCCUGGAGGGCUAUUCGGCUACAGUUAUUGGGUGGAUCCGGCAGGGACCGAGUGGUGAGAGCACAGACCAUCCUCUGAUCCGGGACAUCGGGAUGAUGGUGAGGGAUGGCGCGUCCUUUCAGGCCACGCAUGUAUUCAGAGAGGCCAACGGGGCGGCCGACUGGGUGGCUGCAUACGCGGCCCACCACUCAGGAUACGCCCUGUGGGCAGGAGAGAGGGAGCUGCCAUUGGCACUUCGUGAGAUUAUGUAUUUUGACUUUCUUGGCUGUAUUCGGACACGUGUUGUCUGAAGAACCCGUCAAANNNNNNNNNNNNNNNNNNNNCCAACGGGGCGGCCGACUGGGUGGCUGCAUACGCGGCCCACCACUCAGGAUACGCCCUGUGGGCAGGAGAGAGGGAGCUGCCAUUGGCACUUCGUGAGAUUAUGUAUUUUGACUUUCUUGGCUGUAUUCGGACACGUGUUGUCUGAAGAACCCGUCAAAGCAAAAAAAAAAAAAAAAAAAAAAAAACAAAAAAGUGCUUACAGCAUAGGAGGAUUGUAAUCGGCAUGAUGUGGCUCUUGUGAGCUGCACAAUAAUUAAAUUAUCGUAUUGGCUCUUCCGUUAUUUUCAGGUCUUGAACUGUGUCCAGUGUUUCCGGGGUUGGAAUUGAGGUAAUAUGGAAGUUGCCAUAUCUUGGCAAAAACACCGAAAAUCUGGAUCAAUGUUGCUCGGAGAGGUCAGAUUUGAAAAUCUUAUUCCGAAUAGAAGGCUGGAAUCCAACAUAGAAGAUUAGUGUCUUCAAGCGAAUGUAAAAAAGGGUCUGACUAUAUCUUUUUUGUUUUAAGUGCAAGAAGCAACUUUAGGCAUGAUUUUUCUUCUAGCAAUUGGAUGUAGGAGGGAUCUCAAGGGAGACAAGGUUCCUUUCACGCUAUAGGAAGCAUCCUAUUCCAUGGCUCUUUGAGCUGUGCUUGCUGCCAACGGUUAUGUCCCCACGUUACAUUAGUUAAGGACAAAACCCAGUUCUCUGCCUGGUCCACGUACAGUUCUCAAAUGGGUUCUAUUUGUUCUCUCCUAUUAUCUCAUCUAAGAUGGCAGUUCAUUUUGCUCUGCUUACAACUCCUAGCAAAUGGCGACUGGAGUGGGUCGGAUAUAUUCAAUUCAAUCUUAUCUAUACAUGCAGAUAGGCUGUUUCUAUGUUUAUAACUUGUGACCUCGAGAUCACCAGCCCUGAUAUAUCUAUUUUUAAAAUCACCUAAAAUUCACUAGCUGUCUUUUGAUACAAACAAAUAAAACAAUCAGGAGCCAUGGUAAUAUGUUCAAAUUAUUCCAUAUGAUGGCCAAAAAUAAUGAAAAGCAUCUCCUUUCUCCGUUCUUAAACCUAUGAAGAUCCUCAAACCAUGUGAACACUUUGACUAAUUGUCAUUUCUUUCAUGUUAAGGCUUUCAUUUUAAAGUUUCCAGUACGAACCAACGCUUCUUGGUGCCAUAUAUCUACCAACACUGUCAUCGAGUCACAAAUCUAUGUCACGAGAUUGUACUACUCCCAGUAGCCGUUGUCUUCAUUUCACUCACGCUCUAAUACUAUAGAGAGCCACGGAAAGAGAUCCAAGAGAUGAGCAAUUUACAACAAAUCAUACCUCAGUCUACUUUCAUGGAGCUCUAUCCGAUAAUUUUCCUUUCCAGCAUUUCUACGGUUUGCUUGAUCCUGAAUUAGCCCUAUCACAAAUGCAUAAUUCUCCGAUUAAGCAUGUGCGAACAAAUAAAGCUUUUUCUAUUAAUAGGUUGUUCUAGCGUCAUCCAAGUAAGCAACAAUAUUGACUAUAUAUAUAUAUAUAUAUAGUAACUUUACUUUAGUAUAGNNNNNNNNNNNNNNNNNNNNGUAAAGUACAACAAUAAUUGUACUAUAUAUAUAUAUAUAUAUAGAAUUACUUUAGUAUGAUAACUGGCUACUGCAUUGGUUUGAUAAGUCUGAUUAAUUUUAAUGGGAUCUGCAUGUAGCUCUCAAGAGGGUUUUGCAAUUUGAGGACAGGUUCCAUUGGUAGUGGAUGAAGAAGCGCACCAUCAUCCACCACCGGACCCACUUUCAAGAUCCUUUCCACUUUACUGACCCCAUUCAUCUCCUUUCCUUGGACUCAGAACUUAUGCUUUGGUUCAUAUGUUAUCUUUCAGCAUACGUAUCGAUACAUUCCACGGCAUUAACCCCUUAUACUUCAUGACAUUUAUGUGGGUGUGCUAAACCUUACUUAAACACCGUUGAUAUUUGUGUUUAACAUCAAAUGACAAGGUUAUUCCAUGGCAAACAUGAAACAUGAAAUGACCAGUUGGCAUCCACCUGAGAAAAUGAGUCCUAGAAAAACAGUGUUCUUGAAAAAGUGGAGCUACAUGGGAAAAAAUCCACCUCUGAUACAUGGUGAUUCUGAUACAUCGAGAUUAUAUUUGUGAAAUGUGAGAAGGUGGAACCAAUUAACUGGCUAAUUCAAUUGGUUUUAGAAGGUCGACGAGUUCAAUGAUAACUUCAUAAAAGGAUCCCAAAGUGCCUCUUUUCAUUAGAGCCUUCAUGAAAUCUGAGAGUGGAGAUAAUUUAUUUUUCACCUGCUUGUCCAUCACAGAAAUAUUCCUGCGGGAUAAAAUCCCACUUGUAGAAAAUAGGCAACAGCACCAACAUCUUUAGUUCUUUACAAGGGGUUUAGAAACAAGUACCUUUAACUGUUAUCUGAUCCCUCCUCAUUAUCUGGAAAUACAAACUGCAGAUCUUCAUUAUCUCUGUAAACUUGGACUAAGGCUGCAGCUUUAUAUGCGAAAAAGCCAAACAUUCCAGGAACAAGCUGUGAAUGGAAAAGGAGAUCCAUUAGCAUUGAAUUAUACAUAUGGAACAUGUCUGAUCCUCAUUUUUGCAAAUUGAAAUAGUAUUGGUCAAGAAAAUGAAAUAUCAGUGGAAUAUGCUGUCAGAUAUGUCUAAGCAACAACAUUUUGAUAGAAGUAAAGGCGACAGGCUAACGUUUCAAGGAAAAAGAUGCAGGAAAAAUGGAAAUGUCUCGAGUUUCAGCUUAUAAGAUUUGGAUAUGUGCCUACAUGAAACUGAUUCAAUAUGCCAGGUCUGCGCUCCUAAACUUAAACCAGAAGAGGAGCUUAUGACCACCUGAGUUGAAGAAAGGAAUGGAUAAUAAAUUAAAUAUUUCCUUUUAAUCAUGUUGCUAUUCUGCUCGAUGAACAAUUGUUACAGUAUCAAUCAGCUCGAGCCUCCAAAAUUUCAAAUGAUUUUACUGUCUCCUCAUGUUGAUAUGAUGUGAUUUUAAAUUGUUAAAAUUGGGGAAAGAGCUAUGUUGGUCAUGCAUUAUAUGAGAUCUUUGAGUAGAUAUAGUCUGCUGCUAAAAAAAGUUGCCUUGUUUAAAUCUCAAAUUGAUGAACUACUCAGCAGUUAGCACUAUUACUCAUCAAAGUAAAUAUCAUCAAACCUACUUAGCUCGUAACUAUAAGUUUUAAAUGCAUAUCCGUACCAUGAAACAACAAUGUCAAUUUGUUUCUGACAUGCAUUCCCAGAUGUCUAUGGUUUAGGACCAACUGGCCCCUAAGAGACCAAAAUGGACGGCAAAUGCCAAACUCUAUUAUAACCAUCGGGAGGAAACUAGAUUGGUUCAAUUCCUGAUGGCUCUUCAAGGAGACUUUUGACUCUGUUCUGAUACUAUCACAUUCUCUUAACUGUUGAUGUCACCCUUUUAGAGUUGAUGGUAGAAGAAACAUGUGAAGGAAUAACCACCUUCUCCACCAUAGAUAAUGCGUCAAUUCAUGCAGCUGACUCACCAUCCUCCCCCAUACCCUAAACCUUCUGCAGGUCUGCCUAAAGUCAUGCUGUUAGGAUCCCUCGCAUGUUGCAGAAAAUUUCAGAAAAAUUCAAUGCGCAGCAGAAAGGCAUGCGCGAAAUCCCGUUCAUCGCAUGAACGUAAUUUUAAAAAUCGUUUGUAGAUAGAUUAGGAUUAAAUUCUUUUAAACUAUUUUUAAAUAAUUAAGAAGAUCAGAUCUUCACCUUGUGCGAGUAGAUGAUCACCGCAAAUCUGAUAUUCGUGGAUUUGAUGGAGGUUCGAUGGAAGCCGCACACGUGUCUGGCCUCUACGGGUAUCCACACGAGGUAGUGAACCGAUCGAUGCUCUCGUAUCUCUCUGGGGUGCUAGCUCCCUUGCAGAGA